AUGGGGUGACCUGCUGAGCCGGCGGCCGUGUGCUGCAUAUAGCGCUGUGGUCACCCCACCCCUACCCC
This 68-nucleotide small RNA is filed under the name Caulobacter vibrioides NA1000. RNAcentral's name for it is "small non-coding RNA". Lineage: Bacteria; Pseudomonadati; Pseudomonadota; Alphaproteobacteria; Caulobacterales; Caulobacteraceae. The record is from RNAcentral.